UGAGGAAUAUUGGUCAAUGGGCGCAAGCCUGAACCAGCCAUCCCGCGUGCAGGAAGACGGCGAUAUGCGUUGUAAACUGCUUUUCCAGGGAGAGAAACUUGCGCACGUGUUGCGCAAUUGACGGUACCCUGGGAAUAAGCAUCGGCUAACUCCGUGCCAGCAGCCGCGGUAAUACGGAGGAUGCGAGCGUUAUCCGGAUUCAUUGGGUUUAAAGGGUGCGUAGGCGGACUAUUAAGUCAGUGGUGAAAUCCUGCAGCUUAACUGCAGAACUGCCAUUGAUACUGAUAGCCUUGAGUUUGGUUAAGGUAGGCGGAAUGUGUAAUGUAGCGGUGAAAUGCUUAGAUAUUACACAGAACACCAAUUGCGUAGGCAGCUUACUGAGCCGACACUGACGCUGAGGCACG
RNAcentral lists this ribosomal RNA (404 nucleotides) under uncultured bacterium. RNAcentral's name for it is "bacterial SSU rRNA". It matches the Rfam family "Bacterial small subunit ribosomal RNA", at positions 355 to 755 of the family's 1533-position model. The record is from RNAcentral.